This 375-nucleotide ribosomal RNA is filed under the name uncultured organism. Its description in RNAcentral is "bacterial SSU rRNA". It matches the Rfam family "Archaeal small subunit ribosomal RNA", at positions 476 to 851 of the family's 1478-position model. The record is from RNAcentral.
CCAGCACCCCGAGUGGUCGGGACGAUUAUUGGGCCUAAAGCAUCCGUAGCCGGUUUUACAAGUCCUCCGUUAAAUCCAACUGCUUAACAGAUGGGCCGCGGAGGAUACUAUAAGACUAGGAGGCAGGAGAGGCAAGCGGUACUCAGUGGGUAGGGGUAAAAUACGUUGAUCCAUUGAAGACCACCAGUGGCGAAGGCGGCUUGCCAGAAUGCGCUCGACGGUGAGGGAUGAAAGCUGGGGGAGCAAACCGGAUUAGAUACCCGGGUAGUCCCAGCUGUAAACGAUGCAGACUCGGUGAUGGACUAGCUUCAUGCUAGUCCAGUGCCGCAGGGAAGCCGUUAAGUCUGCCGCCUGGGUAGUACGGUCGCAAGACUG